UACGAAGGGUGCAAGCGUUACUCGGAAUUACUGGGCGUAAAGGGUGCGUAGGUGGUUGUUUAAGUCUGUUGUGAAAGCCCCGGGCUCAACCUGGGAAUGGCAAUGGAUACUGGACAGCUAGAGUGCGGUAGAGGGUAGUGGAAUUCCCGGUGUAGCAGUGAAAUGCGUAGAGAUCGGGAGGAACACCAGUGGCGAAGGCGACUACCUGGCCUGUUCUUGACGCUGAGGCGCGAAAGCUAGGGGAGCAAACGGG
This 253-nucleotide ribosomal RNA is filed under the name uncultured bacterium. Its description in RNAcentral is "partial 16S ribosomal RNA". It matches the Rfam family "Bacterial small subunit ribosomal RNA", at positions 524 to 776 of the family's 1533-position model. The record is from RNAcentral.